RNAcentral lists this ribosomal RNA (379 nucleotides) under uncultured cyanobacterium. Its description in RNAcentral is "bacterial SSU rRNA". It matches the Rfam family "Bacterial small subunit ribosomal RNA", at positions 376 to 770 of the family's 1533-position model. The record is from RNAcentral. Lineage: Bacteria; Bacillati; Cyanobacteriota.
CGAAAGCCUGACGGAGCAAGACCGCGUGAGGGAAGAAAGCCUUUGGGUUGUAAACCUCUUUUCUCAGGGAAGAAACCUGACGGUACCUGAGGAAUCAGCCUCGGCUAACUCCGUGCCAGCAGCCGCGGUAAUACGGAGGAGGCAAGCGUUAUCCGGAAUUAUUGGGCGUAAAGCGUCCGCAGGUGGCGAUUCAAGUCUGCUGUCAAAGCACGGGGCUUAACUCCGUUAAGGCAGUGGAAACUUAAUGGCUAGAGUGCCGUAGGGGUAGAGGGAAUGCCCGGUGUAGCGGUGAAAUGCGUAGAGAUUGGGAAGAACACCGGUGGCGAAAGCGCUCUACUGGACCACACCUGACACUCAGAGGACGAAAGCUAGGGGAGCG